Molecule: ribosomal RNA, 1244 nt
Filed under: metagenome
Description: bacterial LSU rRNA
Rfam family: Bacterial large subunit ribosomal RNA
Source: RNAcentral
UGAAUACGAGACGCUACGGCGUCGAAGCAGUCUAUGUCAUACUUCCAAGAAAAGCUCGCAAUGUCAUAAACAAAUAAUGCCUGUACCAUAUCCGACACAGGUGGGUAGGUAGAGUAUACUAAGGGGCGCGAGAUAACUCUCUCUAAGGAACUCGGCAAAAUGACUCCGUAACUUCGGGAGAAGGAGUGCCUUAUUUGUAAGGUUGCAAUAACAAGAUCCAAGCAACUGUUUAUCAAAAACACAGGUCUCCGCUAAGUCGUAAGACGAUGUAUGGGGGCUGACGCCUGCCCAGUGCCAGAAGGUUAAAGAAGUUGGUUAGCAUUCGCGAAGCUGAUAACUGAAGCCCUGGUGAACGGCGGCCGUAACUAUAACGGUCCUAAGGUAGCGAAAUUCCUUGUCGGGUAAGUUCCGACCCGCACGAAAGGCGUAAUGAUUUGGAUACUGUCUCGGAGAGGGGCUCGGUGAAAUAGACUUGUCUGUGAAGAUGCGGACUACCUGCACCUGGACAGAAAGACCCUAUGAAGCUUUACUGUAACUUGAAAUUGAAAUUGGACUUUAUUUGCGCAGCAUAGGUGGGAGGCGUUGAGAGUAUUCUUGCGGGAAUAUUGGAGCCAUCAGUGAGAUACCACUCUUGUAAUGUUAGAUUUCUAACUUUGGAUCAUUAUCUGGUCAAAGAACAGUUUCAGGCGGGCAGUUUGACUGGGGCGGUCGCCUCCCAAAUGGUAACGGAGGCGUACAAAGGUUUCCUCUGAACGGGUAGAAAUCGUAUCUAGAGUGUAAAGGCAUAAGGGAGCUUGACUGUGAGACCUACAAGUCGAGCAGGGACGAAAGUCGGUCUUAGUGAUCUGACGGUGCUGAGUGGAAAGGCCGUCACUCAACGGAUAAAAGUUACUCUAGGAUAACAGGCUGAUCUCCCCCAAGAGUUCACAUCGACGGGGAGGUUUGGCACCUCGAUGUCGGCUCAUCGCAUCCUGGGGCGGUAGUACGUCCCAAGGGUUGGGCUGUUCGCCCAUGAAAGCGGUACGCGAGCUGGGUUCAGAACGUCGUGAGACAGUUCGGUCCAUAUCCGGUGUAGGCGUUAGAAUAUUGAGAGGAGCCUUCUUUAGUACGAGAGGACCGAGAAGGACAUACCUCUGGUGUACCAGUUAUCGUGCCAACGGUAAACGCUGGGUAGCUAUGUAUGGAGAGGAUAACCGCUGAAAGCAUCUAAGUGGGAAGCCCACCUCAAGAUAAGUAUUCUCAUC